Small nucleolar RNA from Mustela putorius furo (domestic ferret), 126 nucleotides. NCBI's taxonomy places the organism in Eukaryota, Metazoa, Chordata, Mammalia, Carnivora, Mustelidae. The record is from Ensembl.
AGCUCUUGCGUUUGCUUUUGUUUGGUUUGUGGACAAAGACUUAGGCAAAAGCACAAGACAAGUGCUGUCUCGAAGCCCAGAACUCACCGUUCAGUCUGAGUGUUGAUACGGAUAAGAAGGAACGGA